Molecule: ribosomal RNA, 484 nt
Filed under: uncultured bacterium
Lineage: Bacteria
Description: partial 16S ribosomal RNA
Rfam family: Bacterial small subunit ribosomal RNA
Source: RNAcentral
AUUGAACGCUGGCGGCAGGCCUAACACAUGCAAGUCGAGCGGAUGAAGGGAGCUUGCUCCUGGAUUCAGCGGCGGACGGGUGAGUAAUGCCUAGGAAUCUGCCUGGUAGUGGGGGAUAACGUCCGGAAACGGGCGCUAAUACCGCAUACGUCCUGAGGGAGAAAGUGGGGGCUCUUCGGACCUCACGCUAUCAGAUGAGCCUAGGUCGGAUUAGCUAGUUGGUGGGGUAAAGGCCUACCAAGGCGACGAUCCGUAACUGGUCUGAGAGGAUGAUCAGUCACACUGGAACUGAGACACGGUCCAGACUCCUACGGGAGGCAGCAGUGGGGAAUAUUGGACAAUGGGCGAAAGCCUGAUCCAGCCAUGCCGCGUGUAUGAAGAAGGUCUUCGGAUUGUAAAGCACUUUAAGUUGGGAGGAAGGGCAGUAAGUUAAUACCUUGCUGUUUUGACGUUACCAACAGAAUAAGCACCGGCUAACUUCGUG